GGCGUAAAGCGUCCGCAGGGGCAACUUCCAAGUCUGCCGUCAAAGGUCGGAGGCUAACUCCCGUUCCGGCAGUGGAAACUGGAGUGCUAGAGGGCGACAGGGGUAGAGGGAAUUCCCAGUGUAGCGGUGAAAUGCGUAGAGAUUGGGAAGAACACCGGUGGCGAAAGCGCUCUACUGGGUCGCACCUGACCCUCAGGGACGAAAGCUAAGGUAGCGAAAGGGAUUAGAUACCCCUGUAGUCUUAGCCGUAAACGAUGGAUACUAGGCGUGGUUUGUAUCGACCCAAGCCGUGCCGAAGCUAACGCGUUAAGUAUCCCGCCUGGGGAGUACGCACGCAAGUGUGAAACUCAAAGGAAUUGACGGGGGCCCGCACAAGCGGUGGAGGAUGUGGUUUAAUUCGAUGCAACGCGAAGAACCUUACCAGGGCUUGACAUCCCGCGAAUCUUGCUGAAAGGUGAGAGUGCCUUCGGGAGCGCGGAGACAGGUGGUGCAUGGCUGUCGUCAGCUCGUGUCGUGAGAUGUUGGGUUAAGUCCCGCAACGAGCGCAACCCUCGUCCUUAGUUGCCAGCAUUAAGUUGGGCACUCUAGGGAGACUGCCGGUGACAAACCGGAGGAAGGUGAGGAUGACGUCAAGUCAGCAUGCCCCUUAUGCUCUGGGCGACACACGUCCUACAAUGGUCGGGACAAAGGGGAGCAAGCUCGCGAGAGUAAGCGAAUCCCAGCAAGCUCGGCCUCAGUUCAGAUUGCAGGCUGCAACUCGCCUGCAUGAAGGAGGAAUCGCUAGUAAUCGCAGGUCAGCAUACUGCGGUGAUUCGUUCCCGGGCCUUGUACACACCGCCCGUCACACCAUGGAAGCUGGCCAAGCCCGAAGUCGUUACCCUAACCGUUUGGAGGGGGGCGCCGAAGGCUGGGCUAGU
RNAcentral lists this ribosomal RNA (917 nucleotides) under uncultured organism. Its description in RNAcentral is "bacterial SSU rRNA". It matches the Rfam family "Bacterial small subunit ribosomal RNA", at positions 557 to 1472 of the family's 1533-position model. The record is from RNAcentral.